CUUCUCCUGCGGGCUAAGGGUGUGGGCGACAGCUCGCACAUUCAAAUGAGGGAGCGAUUACACCGCGCUUGCUUCUGAAGACGGAUUUCCUGAGACUUUUAUGCGAGUGUGAGGGCCAGCAGGUGCACAUUUGAAGCUCAGUGGGAAGUGUUUUCCAAGCAACAGGAGACAGCAGAUGCAGACGGGGUCCAAUUACUGCUGCUCACGGCUGAUCACGCCAUGCACUUGUGUGCGGAUACCUGGCUCCUGGUCUCAGGCACCUAGUAUGGGGCUAUGCACACGGGAACGCUCAUGCAUUCCUGAGAAGUUGGCUGGAACUAAGGGAGCAUUCAGAGACCACAGAUCCAGUUGACUGGCCCCUGCUGACAUCCAGUCCACGUUGUUGGCCACAUCAGCUCCUCUUCAAACUCAUGAUGCAAAUCAACAGCUAAACAUGUUGAUAUUUUUUGUUUCUCUCAGCUAAGUGGAUCCCUGAGUCCUCCUGGUGCAGUGGAAAGAUUUGAGUUUUGCAGCCAAA
RNAcentral lists this long non-coding RNA (517 nucleotides) under Pan troglodytes (chimpanzee). RNAcentral describes it as "lincRNA". The record is from RNAcentral. Lineage: Eukaryota; Metazoa; Chordata; Mammalia; Primates; Hominidae.